Long non-coding RNA from Coregonus clupeaformis (lake whitefish), 2271 nucleotides. RefSeq lists it as uncharacterized. NCBI's taxonomy places the organism in Eukaryota, Metazoa, Chordata, Actinopteri, Salmoniformes, Salmonidae. The transcript is spliced from 6 exons. The record is from RefSeq and is a predicted model, not a curated record.
UAUAAUAUACAAAUGAAUCAAUAAUAAGCUAAUGAAACACCAACUCAAGUGUAAUUGUACUUUUCCCAUUGAAGUUGUCAUGAGUGCCUUAAGCCACAUUCAUUGCAUUAUUGGCCAAUUAUAUUUACUGUUCUUCAAUGAGGGACGUAAUGAAUGGCCAAUGCUCAGUCACUCAUCUCUGAAUAGCAUACCGGUUACCAGGGAUACCGAGAGAGGAGAGAGGCAUUUUGAAUGACGUCAAUAUGCAUUGAUACUCUAUUAUCGACAAUAAUGACUACCACGGCACCAUACGCGCAUGAUAAGAGGUCUAUUCUGAAGUAGGAGGAGGAGGAGGUGUGUGUGUGUGUGUGUGUGUGUGUGAGAUCACAAGGAGCCGGAAAAACACUUACAGCUCGUGCUGAGGAAAAGGCAGAAUUCACAGAGAGUGAGAGAGGGCAUCAGGCUAUCCCCACUCACGGCUAGCAAAGUUGUUCUCCGCGUCGGGACUACAAGAACAGAAAUCCCGGGAUUCUUGUGGCAUUAGGAUCGCAUGCCGUUCGGCCAGUCAGUGGAGGGCCUCGGUCUGUCAACCCCCCACUCCCCCUCACCCCUCCAUCGCUCAGUGGGCCCCCUACUCCCACCCUACCCUUCUUCCAGCUAGGCCUCACCCGGGCAUUCUCUGUCCCCUGGUCAAAGAGACCAAUCAAAGGACCCCGGGACCUCAAAGCUCUGUGGUGAAUUUUCCAGGCCACGUCCAGACGUGGCCGACGAGUGAACAUCAAGGUGCGGAACAAGAUGGAGCUGCUGAGGAUAUAGAAAGUCAUUGUGACUCCAUCCCUUUCCUGCCUUGGUUUCCCUCCUACCUGGGAUAUGAGCCCUAUCAAAUCAAUAGAUCAGGAGCUUCGGCUCAACGCUCUGCAGGCCGACUGGCUGCUGGCUGCCAAAGGCUGCAACAUGUAAAUGAACCAACCUUACGACGACGCAGCGAGGCAGGGAACUGAACCAUGAACGCCUCGGCUCAGCUCCUCAGAUCCUCAGCUCCUCAGAUCCUCAGCCUUUGUGACGUCUAAACCGCAUCUGACCGCCAGGAACACCUCAACCCCCCUGCCUCACAACCCAGCCCCCUUGUUUAUAGACUACAGGACUCAGUGUUAUAAGGACUGUCUGAAUCCCAACCCUACGGAAUUACUGGCUGAAUUCAGGCUAACAGACAAGGCCUUCAAACCUGCAGUAUUACUUUAUGAAAACUAUAAUCAAAGCUUUAAAAUCAUACUACUAUGAAAACGACAUUAGAGCUCUGAAAGAUGAAGAGAUUCCAAACAGGCUGUAUUAUAGUCCUACAAGCAUAACUGACAAUAACCGUCUGAAAUUAGCCCAGAGCCUUUAAGCCAUAUGUGGCCCCCGGAGUGGACUGACUGUUAGACGAGGCACAAGGCAGCAGUGGAGCACCACAGAGACUGUAGAUAGAUUGUAAUAAACAAAUGAAUAGAAAGGAAGCUGAGUGAGUGAGUGGCAGAAUGCUCUUCUGUGCUGUGUCGGCACUCUGAUUCCGUUUGUGCUAUUACAUAAUUAAAUUUGGACUUGGAUCAUGCUUUUUAAGAGAUUAUGUGAGCAUAUGUUGCUUGAACACAUGCCAGCCUGUGAAAUGGGGCUCCUUUCAUGAGUACUCUAUUAGGUUUAGAGAGUUUAUUGAAAAUCAGAAUUAGCUCGCUGCCAACAGUUAAUGAAUUGGUGUUAUGAUCCUAGUCCAAAGGAUGGCUGGUUGCUAUAAUUUAGGAUCGACAUCUGCAAGAGAAAAUAAGGAAAAUCUGCUAAACAAAGAUUGUAAAUGAAGACGUCAAUGUACUUUGGGGGCCUUUCGAUUUUAUAAGGAUUUAUUGACUGCCUGCCGUUUGAAAUGUGCUGUGUGGUAUAUGUUAGAGUAUUUAUAGAAACUGAAAAAGUGUCUCUCUCUUUCCUCUCCAGUUCCCUUUGUCUUUUCUCUAGUUCUCUUCUCUCCACCAAAGACUCCUCCCUUUCUAGGGAAUGUCUCUGUCCCCUAUGUUGUCCAAUCCACAGUCCAAUCUCUCUUACUCCCUCUCCACACUCAUGUUCCACUACCAUCUCUCUCUCUCUGUGCCCUCUUCCUAUAGUUCUCUCUCUCUCUCUCCUUCCUGUAUUCAACUACUUUUUCUAUUUCCAUCCCUGCUAGGACAUUCCUUCAUAUGAGGGUGGACAAGCCAGUUGGCCCUAGUUUAACAGACACAUUUCUCAGCGCGUUCUCUCGCUUGCUCUCUCUCUCUCUCUCUCUCU